This 468-nucleotide ribosomal RNA is filed under the name uncultured bacterium. RNAcentral's name for it is "partial 16S ribosomal RNA". It matches the Rfam family "Bacterial small subunit ribosomal RNA", at positions 28 to 507 of the family's 1533-position model. The record is from RNAcentral.
GACGAACGCUGGCGGCGUGCUUAACACAUGCAAGUCGAACGGAAAGGCCCUUCUUGUGUUGCUUGCUCGAGUGGCGAACGGGUGAGUAACGCGUGAUUUACCUUCCCCUGACGGUUGGGUAACGUCAGGUAACUGUGGCUAAUACCGGGUAGGAGCUCCUGCUGCAUGGUUGGGGUGGGAAAGUUUCGGGGGUUGGGGAUGGACUCGCGGCUUAUAAUCUUGUUGUUGGGGUAGUGGCUUACCAAGGCGUUUACGGGGAGCCGGCCUGUGAGGGUGACCGGCAAAAUUGGGACUGGGAUACGGCCAGGACCCCUCGGGGAGGAAGAAGUGGGGAAUAUUGCAAAAUGGGCGGAAGCCGGAUGCAGCAAGGCCGCGUGCGGGAUGACGGCCUUCGGGUGGAAACCCGUUUUCGCAUGUGACGAAGCGUGAGUGACGGUAAUGGGUAAAGAAGCACCGGCUAACUACGUG